Molecule: ribosomal RNA, 259 nt
Filed under: uncultured bacterium
Lineage: Bacteria
Description: partial 16S ribosomal RNA
Rfam family: Bacterial small subunit ribosomal RNA
Source: RNAcentral
CGCGGUAAAACAGCAGGGUAAGAGAGUUAUUGGGUAAUAACUUGGAUUAAAGUGUGUGGCAGGCGUGUUGUCCAGGUUCAGAUGUUAAAUUCCGAUGCUUACUCCUGGGAAUUGAGUUUGAAAUGGGGUGGCUAGAGUUGGGCAGAGGGGGGUGGAAUUCCAUGUGUAGCAGUGAAAUGCGUAGAGAUGUGGAGGAACACCAAUGGCGAAGGCAGCCCCGUGGGUCAAAACUGACGCUCAGGCACGAAAGCGUGGGGAG